Molecule: ribosomal RNA, 940 nt
Filed under: Staphylococcus aureus
Lineage: Bacteria; Bacillati; Bacillota; Bacilli; Caryophanales; Staphylococcaceae
Description: partial 23S ribosomal RNA
Rfam family: Bacterial large subunit ribosomal RNA
Source: RNAcentral
CCGGCGAGUUACGAUUUGAUGCAAGGUUAAGCAGUAAAUGUGGAGCCGUAGCGAAAGCGAGUCUGAAUAGGGCGUUUAGUAUUUGGUCGUAGACCCGAAACCAGGUGAUCUACCCUUGGUCAGGUUGAAGUUCAGGUAACACUGAAUGGAGGACCGAACCGACUUACGUUGAAAAGUGAGCGGAUGAACUGAGGGUAGCGGAGAAAUUCCAAUCGAACCUGGAGAUAGCUGGUUCUCUCCGAAAUAGCUUUAGGGCUAGCCUCAAGUGAUGAUUAUUGGAGGUAGAGCACUGUUUGGACGAGGGGCCCCUCUCGGGUUACCGAAUUCAGACAAACUCCGAAUGCCAAUUAAUUUAACUUGGGAGUCAGAACAUGGGUGAUAAGGUCCGUGUUCGAAAGGGAAACAGCCCAGACCACCAGCUAAGGUCCCAAAAUAUAUGUUAAGUGGAAAAGGAUGUGGCGUUGCCCAGACAACUAGGAUGUUGGCUUAGAAGCAGCCAUCAUUUAAAGAGUGCGUAAUAGCUCACUAGUCGAGUGACACUGCGCCGAAAAUGUACCGGGGCUAAACAUAUUACCGAAGCUGUGGAUUGUCCUUUGGACAAUGGUAGGAGAGCGUUCUAAGGGCGUUGAAGCAUGAUCGUAAGGACAUGUGGAGCGCUUAGAAGUGAGAAUGCCGGUGUGAGUAGCGAAAGACGGGUGAGAAUCCCGUCCACCGAUUGACUAAGGUUUCCAGAGGAAGGCUCGUCCGCUCUGGGUUAGUCGGGUCCUAAGCUGAGGCCGACAGGCGUAGGCGAUGGAUAACAGGUUGAUAUUCCUGUACCACCUAUAAUCGUUUUAAUCGAUGGGGGGACGCAGUAGGAUAGGCGAAGCGUGCGAUUGGAUUGCACGUCUAAGCAGUAAGGCUGAGUAUUAGGCAAAUCCGGUACUCGUUAAGGCUGAGC